Long non-coding RNA from Lolium rigidum, 392 nucleotides. RefSeq lists it as uncharacterized. NCBI's taxonomy places the organism in Eukaryota, Viridiplantae, Streptophyta, Magnoliopsida, Poales, Poaceae. The transcript has 5 exons. The record is from RefSeq and is a predicted model, not a curated record.
GGCUGCUUGAAUCAGAUGCUAGAUAGUUGCAGUCUUCUACGGAAAACGGUUCCUACUGUAAAAUGAAAUUCUUGAGCGAUAGGUUGUAGUCGUGUUUGCUGUUAUUCCUUUACCAUCUGCGGGAGGUGCUGCAAUAUAUCAAGGUGCAGCUGUUCCAUGAUCCCCAGUUCGACGGCGAGCUUGAAUAGCCGGCCCAGCACUAUGCACUGUGUGUACAAGCAAGGUAUGGAUUGAAGCAAAAGUCCCUAAACAAGCAACAAGUGAUGACAUGAUCUCAAUUUGCACUACAGGCUGGUCACCUUCUCCAAAUUCUUCAAAUGUUGUGCGCUUAAGUGAAAAUGAGUUGUGUCCAGCUGUUGUAGGUGAUAUCUAAUAUCGCUCUUCGCCAUUCC